UACGUAGGGUGCAAGCGUUGUCCGGAAUUAUUGGGCGUAAAGAGCUCGUAGGCGGUUUGUCGCGUCUGCUGUGAAAACCCGAGGCUCAACCCCGGGCCGCAGUGGGUACGGGCAGACUAGAGUGCGGUAGGGGAGACUGGAAUUCCUGGUGUAGCGGUGAAAUGCGCAGAUAUCAGGAGGAACACCGGUGGCGAAGGCGGGUCUCUGGGCCGUAACUGACGCUGAGGCGCGGACAGCGUGGGGAGCAAACAGG
This 253-nucleotide ribosomal RNA is filed under the name uncultured bacterium. RNAcentral describes it as "partial 16S ribosomal RNA". It matches the Rfam family "Bacterial small subunit ribosomal RNA", at positions 524 to 776 of the family's 1533-position model. The record is from RNAcentral.